RNAcentral lists this long non-coding RNA (1555 nucleotides) under Oncorhynchus kisutch (coho salmon). Its description in RNAcentral is "lncRNA (ENSOKIG00005017401.1)". The record is from RNAcentral. Lineage: Eukaryota; Metazoa; Chordata; Actinopteri; Salmoniformes; Salmonidae.
CGCGUUACAUAAAGCUCUCGAGCUACAAACUGCGGUGGGUCUCGGUAUACAGGAUGCUGUGGCUUUCUCAGACAUAGUCAAAUUUGAAAACUUUCUGAACAUCAAGAUUGUGGUUUUGUACCACAGUAGGGCUAAUGACGCUCUCCUCAAGUUCCAAAAUAUACCCGAACCACAUCCUAAGACUAUGUACUUUUAUGUGCAAAAUGAGCAUUACUAUGCCGUAACUAACAUCACAGCCUUUUUAGGCGCGCCAUAUGUCUGUCCAGCCUGUCAUACCGGCUACACACGCAUGGGGGGGCACUCGUGCCGUUACAACUGUUCAGUAUGUCUGGAUAAACAUUGCCCUAUGCAGCCGCUAAACUUGACCCCCUGUGCGGAUUGUCACCGCACAUGUCGUUCGGCCUACUGUUACGAAAAACACAAAACUGAAACAUGGCAUCCCAAGGCAUGUAAAUCUGUAAGCAGUUGUGACAUUAACAAGAAAUGUCCAAAAUGUCAUUGCAAUUACAACCUUAAAAUAGAUAGCCCUAAACCUCAUGUUUGUGGAAUUAUACACUGCCCAAUCUGUAAAGGUCCUUUGAAAAGCAGAGACGCGGAAGCAGUUCAAGAAGUAACACAUGAGUGUUACAUUCAGCCCUUGGCUGAAGAUGAACAUACAGAGAAAUAUGUGUUUUAUGAUUUUGAGACAACUCAGCAAUCAGGGGUUCAUUUGCCUAUUUUUGUGUCAACCAUGACUUUCAAGGGUGAAAAAUGGUCGGCCGAGGGACCCGAUUGUGCCCAACUCUUUCUAAAACAUUUUAGAAAAGCCCAGUACAGAAACUUCACGUUUAUAGCUCACAAUGCUAGGGCCUAUGACUCCUAUCUGCUUCUGAACCCUUUGAUACAGCAAGGCGUGGCACCCAGUGUCAUAGCUCAAGGGAGUAAAAUAUUAUGCUUUGUUGACCCCGCCUUCAAACAGAGAUACAUUGACAGCUUAAGCUUCUUACCCAUGAGAUUGGCUCAAAUGCCAGAGGCCUUGGGUUUUGAAAACUCUGUCAAAGGCUAUUUCCCUCAUUUCUUCACAUCUGAGGAGAAUCUACAUUAUAUAGGAUCUUAUCCAGCCCCCGAAAUGUACGGGUGUGAUCAAAUGUCUCCCAAAGAGCGUGAGAGAUUCAUGACAUGGUACGAGACCGUAAGACAUGGCACUUUUGAUUUCCAUAAAGAGAUGGAAUCAUACUGUGACAAUGACGUUGUUAUACUUCGUGAAGGAUGCCUCAGAUUCAGAGAAGAGGUAAUCAAAGAUGCGGGCAUUGACCCCUGGAGCUGUACAACUAUUGCAUCAGCGUGCAUGAAAACCUAUCGUACACACUAUCUAACUCCUGAAUCUAUAGCUAUCCCAUCGCCAGACAACUACCGACGCCAAUUCAAGGCCUACUCUAGUGGUUCCAUUCAAUGGUUGGAGUACUUGGCCCAGGAUAAAGAUAUUUUUAUCCAACAUGCUUUGAAUCGGGGGGAGAAGGCUUUUGGGCCUUACCAUGUAGAUGGAUACACACAGAUUGACGGGGUUGAGACAGUG